This 786-nucleotide ribosomal RNA is filed under the name uncultured Candidatus Cenarchaeales thaumarchaeote. RNAcentral describes it as "bacterial SSU rRNA". It matches the Rfam family "Archaeal small subunit ribosomal RNA", at positions 523 to 1308 of the family's 1478-position model. Lineage: Archaea; Thermoproteati; Nitrososphaerota; Candidatus Cenarchaeales. The record is from RNAcentral.
AGCCGGCCGUCUAAGUUUUCGGUUAAAUCUAUGCGCUUAACGUAUAGGCCGCCGAAAAUACUGGACAGCUAGGGAGUGGGAGAGGUACACGGUACUCAAUAGGAAGGGGUAAAAUCCUUUGAUCUAUUGAUGACCACCUGUGGCGAAGGCGGUGUACCAGAACACGUUCGACGGUGAGGGAUGAAAGCUGGGGGAGCAAACCGGAUUAGAUACCCGGGUAGUCCCAGCUGUAAACGAUGCAGACUCGGUGAUGCAUUGGCUUGUGGCCAAUGCAGUGCCGCAGGGAAGCCGUUAAGUCUGCCGACUGGGAAGUACGUACGCAAGUAUGAAACUUAAAGGAAUUGGCGGGGGAGCACCACAAGGGGUGAAGCCUGCGGUUCAAUUGGAGUCAACGCCAGAAACCUUACCCGGGGCGACAGCAGAAUGAAGGUCAAGCUGAAGACUUUACCAGACAAGCUGAGAGGUGGUGCAUGGCCGUCGCCAGCUCGUGCCGUGAGAUGUCCUGUUAAGUCAGGUAACGAGCGAGACCCCUGCGUCUAGUUGCUACCAUUACUCUCUGGAGUAGUGGAGCGAAUUAGACGGACCGCCACAGUUAAUGUGGAGGAAGGAAGGGGCCACGGCAGGUCAGUAUGCCCCGAAACCCUGGGGCCACACGCGGGCUGCAAUGGUAUUGACAAUGUGUUCCGAAUCCGAAAGGAGGAGGCAAUCAUCAAACGAUACCUCAGUUAUGACUGAGGGCUGUAACUCGCCCUCACGAAUAUGGAAUCCCUAGUAACUGCGCGUCAC